RNAcentral lists this long non-coding RNA (3387 nucleotides) under Solanum lycopersicum (tomato). RNAcentral's name for it is "long non-coding RNA (SLYC_LNC000905)". Lineage: Eukaryota; Viridiplantae; Streptophyta; Magnoliopsida; Solanales; Solanaceae. The record is from RNAcentral.
CAGAAGAUGGAUAAUGUGAUAUGCUAUAUACUAUUAGAGAUAUUCAAAAUAUAUGUACAACUGAUAUUGGACAUCAAGAUGAUCCAUAUUAAUUAAGAUAAUAAAAUCAAAAUAUUUUUUUUGACAUAUGAGAUCAACAUGUGAUUGUUUAUCAUAUCAUAUGUAGAGGAUGCUGCUGUUCAUUUUUAGUUGCUGAUCUUCUUCAUCAUCCAAAAACCAUAGCAUAGGGAGUUGUUAGGGGUUCCUGAGAAAAUUGUUAGUGUUAUUAAAUUUAGAAAGUUGAGUUGUUUAAUGAUAAAAGUGAAACCGUUGAAAAAGUAUACAUGACAAAAAAAAUGUGCGAUAUAAUAUUAACAGCGAAGCUAAAUAACGAAGGCUUCAUAAAAAUUUAAUUGAUUCAUUUCCUUGGCAAAAAGUUAACUGAUUCAUUUCAUUCUCCCUAUUGAGCAAACUUGAAUCGACUGAGAAUCCAAAAACUUCAUUAAGCAAAAGUCACAAAAUCAAGUGAGGAAGUUCCUGUAAUUAGACAAAUUAAGGUAGGUUAAAAAAUGAAAGUACAAUAUUCAAAUUCAUAUCAGCCGGAUCCUGUCAUUGUCCUGUAUGUAAAUAGGCAAUAACACAUGAGAUAAUUGGCAGAAAUAAAGUCAGGAUCGUUAGCAAUACAUAAGUCGAUUAUACUGAAACAAAAAAAAAAAUUUGCAAGUAUGUAGAAGAAAACAACUGGACAUAGUAUUUUACUAAAAUGAGGGUUGUCUUAAAGUAAAUCUAUAUAGAACACAUCAGUCAACAUUUAUGACUAUAAUAUAUACAAAUAUUGAACAUCUUACUUCUGUCAAGGUUUGACAUGAAUGAAAAAUUGUGUUCAUUUCCAUUAUCUGUAAGCACCAUAUUUGACACAAACAUAGCAAAGUUUUAAACAGUGGUGAACAAAAAAUAUUACGACAAAAGGAUAUAAGAUGGUUUAGCAGAAGUACGCUUACAUCCACAACAAGAUAAAAUACAUUGACAAAAACUGAUAUAUUGUCAAAUACUCAAUGAACUGUAAUUAUUGAGAAAUAUCAUCUACCAUGUCUGCUACAUCAAAACACUAAUUCUGAAGGCAUCUAUUGUUUACAAAAGACAUGAAUUUUUGGACUUUCAAAAACAUCUCUCUUUUCUUUCUAACCAGAUAGUCCGAAAGAUGCAAACAGAGGCAUGCUAUACCUGAUUUUCUUCAAUUUUUUUUGACUUUCUUGUUUGUACAAAUAUUAUUAGCAAGCCUCUCAUACUAUAUGAAAUCAAGAGGUUCUAAAUUUGUUUUGUAUGGCUACUUUGUAGUAUACUUUCCUGUUGGAUAUUCUAUUAGCAUGUUAUUAAGUGCAUGCUUUUCACACUAACACACUAAUAUUGUUUGAUAAUAUGUCUGAAAGAACUGGACACUAUUAAUUCUUCCUAAUUUUUUCUUUUUUCCAUCUUCAUCCUCUGACAUUUUGUUAUGCUCUUUCUCUCUUCUUGGUUCAUUUAUGUCACUUUGCAUCUAUGAAAUAGUUUUUUGUAUGUAAUUGUUUAAUUUGUGCUUUUGUAAAGCCAAACAUCCGAAUUCAAAGUAAAAGAUUCAAUUAGCAAUUAAAAUCUAUAUCUAAUGACUACAAUUAUAAAGAGAAGUCACAUAAACUCUUAGACUAUUACACAAGUUACUGUUAAGCUCAAGAUAUCAACCAGGCAGACCCAAGUCAUUAAUUUACUCAAAAUGAUCAAAUAAAAUAGAAACUGAAAGAAAGUUGGUAGUAUUCAUAAUCAUCACGGCCAACAAACUGCAUUAAAUGUAGAUACUAAUCUCAAAGAAAUCACUCAAAACACUUGGUAACACGGGUUAAGUUUUGAUACUUCUUAUAACUAAGUUUGAAGGGAAGCACAAAUAUCGAAAGUGAAAUGUGAAAUUAUUGUUGAAGGAGAGAAAACAUGAAGAUUCAAAAAAGCAAGUGAUGCCUUUUAAAAGACUUUUGACAGAGGAAACACCACCCACCAAAGAAAAUUCCAUGAUGCCUUUUAAGAGACUUUUGACAAACUUGUUGUACCUUAAUGAAUUUGAAAUUGAUUGUGAAGCACUUAGUUUGAAAUAAAUAAAUAAAUAAACAACUAAGAAAAUCAGCCAUCAAAAUAUUGUAAAAUAAAUUUGGGUUAAAGCAUUAGUUAACAUAUGUCCUUAGUUCAACUUGAUGUUUAUUAACAUGUCACUAUCACCUAGUCACAUUUAAGCUUAGUCUAAUGGGAAGAAGUAAGCUUACUGAAAAUAUUACUCCUUUUUUUAAGAUUCCAUUACCCUUUCUUGCUCCCAUACAUUCUGUUGAUGGGAAGUAUAGUAUCAAUUAAGCAUAUCGAUUAUUUUUUACAAGUGUCUUAUCAGUUUCAUCAAUGGCCAGCUAUUGUGUCUUGUGUUAGAUUUCCGCUUUUUCAAAGUCUUUAUGUUGAUGAAUGAGAGUUGUAAAAUUUAUCAAUUUUAUUAGGAAACUACUAAAUAAAAAAUAAUAUCAAGAGGAUAAACAUCUACUCACCCUAAGUAGAUAGUUCAACUUGAUUAACAUCUUCCAAGACAAACCCAGCUGUUGAAACUGAUCAAUUUUCAUAACACAUAAGUAUUGUGUUCAUUGGGGAAUUUCGUCAAAUACGUGACCACAAUCAUUAUCUGCAAAAAUAUUAUAUGGGCCAAAACAAUUAGUAUUUAAGAACUUGAUAGGUGAUACUACAAAAUAAUGAGAAAAAAAUCAUGCAUGAGCAGAAUAAUCAAUUAACAGAACAUUUGCAUAUCUAUAAAGUGAGAGAUCUCUGCCCUCCACUCUAAUCUCUCUACAGUAAGAACAACACUGACAAACUUGGACUGAAGUCGAUUGUUUUGUCCCCAAAAAUAAGCCAAACUUUAUCUGCACGUUCAACUAUUUCCUCUUCUUCACCUUUUGAGUUUUAACCCCAAAAUAAGUAGAAAUACCAUAACUAUGUGCAUGCAAGACUAUUGAAAUAGUGAAAAUUUUGGAUGCACUAUGUUCAUCAAGGGUCCAAAGUCAUCUAUGUAUUUAUUUCUAUUUUCGAACAUGCAUGAGUAAAUUAGAUACAAUUGAUGAUACAUACAUCUAAAAUAGCUACUAUUAUAGGUCUGUUUUUCAAGUUUAGGACUAUAUAAGAGUAGAAAAAUCAUAAAAAAAAACUCACCGUAAUACAACAGGUACGAAGAGGAAUUGGAGGUCUAAACAGAGAUUAAACACGAUAUCAGAAUUUGAUAAAGAGCAAAUGAGCAAGGGUGAGAAUAGAUGCGGAGAACACUCUAGAUUGUUGAAAGAAGGAAGAAGAAGAAAGUGGGAGAGAAAGGGAGAGUAAAGCAAAAGGUGAGAUGUUUCAUUUUUUACAUUAAAA